UGCUCCUAGUACGAGAGGACCGGAGUGGACGUUCCACUGGUGUUCGGGUUGUCAUGCCAAUGGCAUUGCCCGGUAGCUACGAACGGAACUGAUAACCGCUGAAAGCAUCUAAGCGGGAAGCAGGCCUCAAGAUGAGAUUUCCCUGGGCCUUUAAGGCCCCCUAAGAGCCCUUAUAGACUAUGAGGUUGAUAGGCUGGGUGUGGAAGUGCAGUAAUGCAUUGAGCUAACCAGUACUAAUUGCUCGAGAGGCUUGACCAU
RNAcentral lists this ribosomal RNA (258 nucleotides) under Gammaproteobacteria bacterium. RNAcentral's name for it is "partial 23S ribosomal RNA". It matches the Rfam family "Bacterial large subunit ribosomal RNA", at positions 2673 to 2925 of the family's 2925-position model. Lineage: Bacteria; Pseudomonadati; Pseudomonadota; Gammaproteobacteria. The record is from RNAcentral.